Molecule: non-coding RNA, 652 nt
Organism: Oryctolagus cuniculus (rabbit)
Lineage: Eukaryota; Metazoa; Chordata; Mammalia; Lagomorpha; Leporidae
Source: RefSeq, a predicted model, not a curated record
GAAGAGGGCCCGGCGGCCCGUGGGGGGCGAGGGCGGCGGGCCCGCCUGCAGGGAGCUGAGCGCGGCCUGGCGCUGCUCCCGGGAGACGUCCCCGCGCAGAUCCAAGAGGGCAGAGACGUGGUCCUCGCUGCGGGGGCGCCGGGAAGAGAACCACGCACCUACGCUGUUUCUUCACUGCCAACCUCAUCCCGAGACCCCAAGGGAGCCUCACCUGGAGCUCCACCAACAGCGCCUCCAACACCAGGCGACAGAUCCUCCUCUGCAGCUCGUCCAGCGCGGCUUCUACCGGAGCCAAGGCUCCCGGAGCCGCCCCGUCGGGCUGUAGCACCGACACCGAGGAGCUGGACAGACCAAAAAUUCGCUUCAGGACCAAGGCCAAGGCCCGCACGGCCCUCCGCAGUCCGGCCUCUCGGGCGCCACCUCGUGGCAGGAGUGUGUGGCUGUUCCCACUCCUGGGAAAGUCUUGAGAUGCGGAUUAAAGCUGGGGGCGGGGGCGGAGGGCUCUCUGUGACCUAGAAGAAGGGACACAGCCCAGCGGAACCUGCCUCUGUGUGGCCUUGAACAAGUUACUCUUUAGAUUUCUGUUUCCUUGUCCGUCGGGGGAGGGAGUUCAUCUCAGCCAGGAGGGAAUAAAAAACCAUUAUCGCCUGUG